UUUAACGGCCGCAGUAUUUUGACUGUGCAAAGGUAGCAUAAUCAUUAGUCUUUUAAUAGGGGGCUGGUAUGAAGGGUUUGACGAGGUGUUUACUGUCUCAUUUAAUUUGUAUUUAGAAUUUAACUUUUCAGUUAAAAGGCUGAAAUUGUAUUGGAAGACGAGAAGACCCUAUAGAGCUUUAUAAUUGAAAUUUUAAUUAUUUUUUGUUUAUUAUUUUUUAUUAUUAUUUUAAUUAUUUUGUUGGGGUGACAAGAAUAUAUAAUUAACUUUUUUAUUUAAUUAACAUUGAUUUAUGAUUAUUAGAUCCAUUAUUAAUGAUUGUUAGAUUAAGUUACCUUAGGGAUAACAGCGUAAUCUUCCUUCAGAGUUCAUAUUUACGGGAAGGCUUGCGACCUCGAUGUUGGAUUAAGAUAAUAAUUAGGUGUAGCCGCUUAGUAUAUAGGUCUGUUCGACCUUUAAAUUCUUACAUGAUCUGA
RNAcentral lists this ribosomal RNA (476 nucleotides) under Asiagomphus melaenops. RNAcentral describes it as "partial 16S ribosomal RNA". It matches the Rfam family "Bacterial large subunit ribosomal RNA", at positions 1923 to 2608 of the family's 2925-position model. The record is from RNAcentral. Lineage: Eukaryota; Metazoa; Arthropoda; Insecta; Odonata; Aeshnidae.